This 402-nucleotide ribosomal RNA is filed under the name uncultured bacterium. RNAcentral describes it as "bacterial SSU rRNA". It matches the Rfam family "Bacterial small subunit ribosomal RNA", at positions 355 to 774 of the family's 1533-position model. The record is from RNAcentral.
UGGGGAAUAUUGGACAAUGGGGGAAACCCUGAUCCAGCCAUGCCGCGUGAGUGAAGAAGGCCUUCGGGUUGUAAAGCUCUUUCGACGGGGAAGAUGAUGACGGUACCCGUAUAAGAAGCCCCGGCUAACUUCGUGCCAGCAGCCGCGGUAAUACGAAGGGGGCUAGCGUUGUUCGGAAUUACUGGGCGUAAAGCGCGCGUAGGCGGUGAUCUUUGUCAGAGGUGAAAGCCCGGGGCUCAACUCCGGAAUUGCCUUUGAAACGGGAUCGCUUGAGUCCGAGAGAGGAUGGCGGAAUUCCUAGUGUAGAGGUGAAAUUCGUAGAUAUUAGGAAGAACACCGGUGGCGAAGGCGGCCAUCUGGCUCGGUACUGACGCUCAGGCGCGAAAGCGUGGGGAGCAAACA